AGUCUGCAACUCGACUACAUGAAGCUGGAAUCGCUAGUAAUCGCGGAUCAGAAUGCCGCGGUGAAUACGUUCCCGGGUCUUGUACACACCGCCCGUCACACCAUGGGAGUCAGUAACGCCCGAAGCCGGUGACCCAACCUAAUCAGGAGGGAGCCGUCGAAGGCGGGACGGAUGACUGGGGUGAAGUCGUAACAAGGUAAC
This 201-nucleotide ribosomal RNA is filed under the name uncultured bacterium. RNAcentral describes it as "partial 16S ribosomal RNA". It matches the Rfam family "Bacterial small subunit ribosomal RNA", at positions 1302 to 1500 of the family's 1533-position model. The record is from RNAcentral.